CCUCUCUAAUACAUGUGGAGAGACAUCCAAGUUCCAUGGCUUUAUCACAGACUAAUGGAGAAAACCACUCUGGAAGGGGUUAUAUCACUUUGGAGCUGGGAGGAAAAGAACUACAAAACAUAGCCCUGGCUCAAGGAGCACGUCUUAAUUCUCCAUACAGCAGAGGUCCAACCUGGAGAUUAGAAAAAUGUAAAGCUGGAAGAGCUGCAAGUUGCAAAGAGAAAACAUCUCCACAGAUCAAAGGUCUCCUUGAAAACCUCAACAUUAGUUUAGAUGGAAGGGAAAGGAAAGGAAAAAAGUGGUCUCCACCAGGUUACUCUAAACCUGACAGAAACAGUGCAGACUGCCUUGAAGGUCUUAGAGUGAAUGGGUCUUCUCAUACACAAGAUUGUUUACAGCUCUCCUUGCCUUCGGUAUCAGAGGGAAAGUAUGGGCAAUCCCCUGAAAAAUAUCAGAAUUCUAAAUCAUUAAGUGAACACCGACUGCGCCUGGCUACACUACCAACGGCAAAAGGGCCCAAGACAAUUUUACUGAAACAAUGCAAAGAUGGAGAAGCGUCAAGUUCUGCGACAUUACCACAGACACAACCAAAAAUGUCAUCAAAAGCUUCACUGUGUCAAAGUGGGAGCAAAUUUAUUUCUAAGAGACGGAAAAGUGAGGGGCUGAAUUGCCAGACUUCAGUGCAAGAUGUUUUAGCUCCAAAUGAGAGGAUUUCUUUCCCUGCUUAG
RNAcentral lists this long non-coding RNA (728 nucleotides) under Anolis carolinensis (green anole). Its description in RNAcentral is "lncRNA (ENSACAG00000037961.1)". The record is from RNAcentral. Lineage: Eukaryota; Metazoa; Chordata; Lepidosauria; Squamata; Anolidae.